UGAGUCUUAAGAAUUAUGUUUUUUUUUUUGUCUUUUCUUUUUUAUACAUUAUGAAUUGUUAUUGUUUUCUACAACAUCCAGCAAU
Molecule: small RNA, 85 nt
Filed under: Arabidopsis thaliana (thale cress)
Lineage: Eukaryota; Viridiplantae; Streptophyta; Magnoliopsida; Brassicales; Brassicaceae
Description: ATSL055320
Source: RNAcentral